This 240-nucleotide ribosomal RNA is filed under the name uncultured bacterium. RNAcentral describes it as "partial 16S ribosomal RNA". It matches the Rfam family "Bacterial small subunit ribosomal RNA", at positions 94 to 334 of the family's 1533-position model. The record is from RNAcentral.
ACCGGCGCACGGGUGCGUAACGCGUAUACAAUCUACCUUUUACAGAGGGAUAGCCCAGAGAAAUUUGGAUUAAUACCUCAUAGUAUUAUAAAUUGGCAUCAAUUAAUAAUUAAAGUUUCGGCGGUAAAAGAUGAGUAUGCGUUCUAUUAGCUAGUAGGUAAGGUAACGGCUUACCUAGGCAACGAUAGAUAGGGGUCCUGAGAGGGAGAUCCCCCACACUGGUACUGAGACACGGACCAG